ACAUUAAUAUGUAGUAAGGUAACCAAUAUGGAUUACAGGACAAGUUUCAUAAAGACCCUCUUAAAUGAUACUACAAAAGUAAUGCAGAUAUCAGAGGGACAAAACAGCACUCCUGGCCUUCCUGCUAUUCUUCAAAAGACAGUGUAGCUCAUUUUUAGAUAAGUUAUAACUCUCUAAAUUGAGGUUUAAGGCCAUGUCUAAGGGAUUUUUAAGGACAACUGAAAAUGAUUUGUCAAAAAACAUUGUAGAAGCUUCACAACGCUAUUUUUCCUCCAGAAGCUAUUUCAAGCCAUUUUAAAUUAAUGUACCCGGGAAAAGCAUCUGCCAGGUACAAUGCAUGCUCUGAGAUGCUCCCUGUAAUCAAGAGUGGAAUGAGAGAAGACCCAGGCACGCCCGGAAGAGAUGGUCUGGUAGGAAGCACAGGUACAUAAAUUUUCAUGUAUAUGAAUAAAAGCCAGGAAGGACACUGCCAGACGAAAAAGAUACAGAUAAAGAGCUAGAAGGAAAGAGGGGUCAGUGCAAAACAGGCGAAGAUAAAUUGGCGCGUUUUGGCCAUUUUCAGUCCCCAUAGGGCUAGGCCCUCUCUGGCUCAGUGUGUACUUGUUGAGAGAAUGAAGCAAAGUGGCGGGAAAUGGUACCUGGAAGUGGAGGCGGCACAGAAAGUGGCCUCGGAGAAAAGGCAACAAGUGAAUGGAGGCAGUAUCCACGGCGAGGUGUAAGGGAGGGCUGGCUGGCCGACAGUGAACGCGCUAGGGGAAGCCGGCUCCAAAUAGGCAGGUUCGAUAAGGUGCAGCAAGUUGGAAACACGACAGAUUGUUAGAAAACACAGAGCGAACCAGGCCGACGAGGGAGGAAGAUGGGCUCCAGCUGUGUGGCAACAGAAUCCGACAAACAGCUGCAGAGAAGACCUGGCCGGAGGUACAGCUCCAGGCACUCACCGCCCUGGGCCACAGCCUCCGCCCGCUUUCAGCGCCACCGCCUACGCGGGAGGAGGAAGUGCAUCUAGAGAAGGUCUCCUAGGUGGGGUCUAAGGGGGCUCGGCUUCCCCGAACGCCGAGACGUUAUAAUUUCUUAACUCCUACGGGACUGAGCUUCUCCGUGUACAACCAAAAUUGCCCACCUUCGGGUCUUUCGGCCUCGGGGGCCCAGGAGAGGCCCGGGACCCGCACCCAUGUGCUCCCACAUCCCAGCGGUUCUCGUUCCCUUCCUGGCUUCCGGCUGAGCCCCUCCGGCCCCCGCGCCCGAGUGGAGCGCGGCUGGCUGGCCGCACCCGCCCCUACAGGCCGGGCGGAGCAGGCACGCGCGGCGCAGGGGGCGGGCUGGGCUCGGCCCGGCUGCAGCCGCAAAAGGCCUGCUGGUCCCGGCGCACCCGUGGGGAAGGAGAAGGCGCUAGCGGCGGCUGAACCUCCAGAGACCAGUCGAAACUCCUGGGGGGCGCUGAAAAAGACGCUGAACCCCCAUUCCCCAGCUCUGGAGCCCGGCAUCCCUCCCUAUUGCACCCACCCGCCCGGGUCCAUCCCCCGCCCCGGCGCAUCAGCGUCUCCGGUUUCCCAUUGAUGAGGUGGGGGAGGGAAGGCAGGUCGGGAGGGCUCCGGGGGCACUCGCUCGCGCACGCGGCGGGCAGAAUCCCCAAGCGUCCGGGAGCCCUCCCCCCACCCCUCAGCCAGCACCUAGGAGGCUGCCAGCCGCUGCCGGAAUCGCGCUGGGGUGCGUUUGGUUUGCCCUAUGCUGAUGGCCAGCCAGACCUGGGGUUAAGGGGAGGAAGAGAAUGUCUGCCACAGCAGCUCUGUCUACGAGGAAGAAGCGAGAUGAGCACACGCACCCUUUUCUGUUAAAUAUUGCAAGGUGACACAGGAUCGCUUCCCACACGGGGAUUUUCAAAAGGACUGGAGGAGGGAACGCAAUAAACAAGAAAGAUGCUUUCCCGGGUCAGAAGUUUGUCUGAGGAAGAGCCCCUAAGGACUCUGCACACUGAGGGGUUUUUGAUCUGUGUCAACUCCAGUCAGCAGCUUCCCACUGACUUAGAACUGAGAGUGUCCAAAAGGCGUCUCCGUAAAACAAACUUAAUAAUGGCGUGGCUCCAAGAGCUUGGGUUCAUUCAUUUUUAUUACCGUUUUCAUUGUCCCCUCCUCCCCCGCCCCCCGCCCCUGUCUCUUUAAGAAACCGGAAAGGGAUAAAGGGGUCCAGGAAAGGAGGAAUCCGGCUCAGGAGCAGCAAAGAGGAGGGCAGUGAAGUAAGAGAAACGCAAGGAGAAAGGAAGGACACGAGGGAUGGGAAAGGGCGAGGACCAGAGAGCCGAGGACUGCGGCGGGCGGGAGAGGGUUAAAGGGAGCAGGAGACCGGGUCCUCCCCCACUGCCUUUCACACUCUGCCUGCCGGAGGCCAAGCAAGAAAACCCAAAUCUAGAUGAAAACCAGGAGCAGCAAAGGUAUGGACUGUGACAUCUCUCCCGCCUUCCCUGUCGCGCAGACAUCUACUCUAUGUACACAUAUAUGUUCUAUGUUAUAUAAUCUAUGUUAAAGAUGCAUGCUUAGCCACGGCUAACCCAGGGGCAACCACAGAACCACGCGUCUCAUGCAGCCCCAGUGUCCCCUGCACCCGGGAGACCCGGGAACUCGGCAACUGCCCGCGGUUCCUCGCUCCAUUCACACCCCAGAAAGGGAGUACCGACAUUAAGGCACACCCGGGAGACGCGCGAGGCUCCCGGGGACUGUAUCACGAGAAAGCAUCACCUACCAGUUUUCCUGCAUCCAUUGGAUGGCUUCGUUCUCGUUGAACUGCUUUUCGAAUUCAUAUUCUUGUAAAGUCAACACUGACAUGUUCAUUGGGGCUGAUCUUCGGAGUCGCUACGUGUUCUCUACACAAAAUAAAAUAAUCUGUAAAGCG
Molecule: long non-coding RNA, 2886 nt
Filed under: Sus scrofa (pig)
Lineage: Eukaryota; Metazoa; Chordata; Mammalia; Artiodactyla; Suidae
Description: lncRNA (ENSSSCG00025030497.1)
Source: RNAcentral